UCUUCGGCGUACUCACCACUUUAGAUUUCGAUAUCAUCUUUUCUUCUGUUUGCAAUGAACGUUCUAAUCUUCCUUGCCUGCUGCAGCGCCUCUAUACUCAUGCGAUCGAGGGCGCAACAAGAAGACAACUGUUUUCCGGGAACUACUGACUUAGUGAUCCACCAUGAGGUAGUAGACCAAGAAACGGGAUUCACAAAGUACUGCUCUGGUAUGGCUGUUCUUAAAAAAUGCGAAGGAUCGUGUAUUUCCCAGGUAACGCCGAGUGUGAGAUAUGGAUUUUCCAAGGAAUGUAAAUGUUGCCGAGAAAGAACGCGAACUUUGCGAACAGUAGUUUUAGAUGCGUGCUUCGAUGUAGAUAACAACCCACUUCCAGGCGUGACUCAUCAAAUGGUCUUACAAGAACCCAGCGAUUGUGCCUGCCAAGUCUGUGCCCUUUAAAGCAAUCCAUGUAUCAAAUGUAUAAUAAGACUUUUUACACACAGAAACAUAUAUUGUAUACAGACUCAUGGUGAAAUGAUUUAUCAUAUAGGUUUAUAGUAUAUAGAGUUAUAUAUGUAGUAUACACACUCAUAGUAUAUAUGUGCAUAGUAUAUGGGUUCAUGGUGUAUAUUAUACAUGUUCAUAUGUAUGCACCUACUAUAUGAGCUCAUAGUAGAUAUACACAUAUAGGGAAUAGUAUACACACUCAUAGUAUAUAUGUGCAUAGUAUAUGGGUUCAUGGUGUAUAUUAUACAUGUUCAUAUGUAUGCACCUACUAUAUGAGCUCGUAGUAGAUAUACACAUAUAGGGAAUAGUAUACCAGCUCAUUGUAUGUAGAUGCAUGGUAUAUAGACAGAUAAUAAAUAGUAUAUAGACUCAUAGUAGUAUAUAACUAUACAAUGCAACAAUGCACCCUAACUUGUGCAACUAUACUGACACAUAAUGUGUCAAUUAUUCAGUCAGUUAUUUAGGUAUGAUCAUUAUUAAACUUCAGAAAGUCUAGGACUCAUGAGUAUGCCUUUGAUUUGAAUUUACGAAUGCUGUAUUUUGUAUUUCCUUAGAAAUUAUUAAAGGCACUAAUUAUUCGCAAACAACUCUA
Saccoglossus kowalevskii is the source of this 1078-nucleotide long non-coding RNA. Lineage: Eukaryota; Metazoa; Hemichordata; Enteropneusta; Harrimaniidae. The record is from RefSeq and is a predicted model, not a curated record.